GACGAACGCUGGCGGCGUGCCUAAUACAUGCAAGUAGAACGCUGAAGAGAGGAGCUUGCUCUUCUUGGAUGAGUUGCGAACGGGUGAGUAACGCGUAGGUAACCUGCCUGGUAGCGGGGGAUAACUAUUGGAAACGAUAGCUAAUACCGCAUGAUAUUAAUUGUCGCAUGAUAAUUAAUUGAAAGAUGCAAUUGCAUCACUACCAGAUGGACCUGCGUUGUAUUAGCUAGUUGGUGAGGUAACGGCUCACCAAGGCGACGAUACAUAGCCGACCUGAGAGGGUGAUCGGCCACACUGGGACUGAGACACGGCCCAGACUCCUACGGGAGGCAGCAGUAGGGAAUCUUCGGCAAUGGGGGGAACCCUGACCGAGCAACGCCGCGUGAGUGAAGAAGGUUUUCGGAUCGUAAAGCUCUGUUGUAAGAGAAGAACGGGUGUGAGAGUGGAAAGUUCACACUGAGAC
Molecule: ribosomal RNA, 463 nt
Filed under: Streptococcus sanguinis
Lineage: Bacteria; Bacillati; Bacillota; Bacilli; Lactobacillales; Streptococcaceae
Description: bacterial SSU rRNA
Rfam family: Bacterial small subunit ribosomal RNA
Source: RNAcentral